This is a long non-coding RNA of Amphiprion ocellaris (clown anemonefish), 575 nucleotides long. Lineage: Eukaryota; Metazoa; Chordata; Actinopteri; Pomacentridae. The record is from Ensembl.
AAGACAGACCAACAAAGAUUCUCGAAGCUUACCCAUGUUUCAGAGAAGUGGAUCAUGUUUUGGAUGAAUUGCGGAGAAUUAUUCAACCAUCCAAUUCCCGGUACAUCUCUGAGAUGAAGGAAAGAUGGGAAAACUUCUACUCAAAGGUGCAGUUCUAUGGUGUGAUGAAAAAACUCGUGAAGCCUCCAAACACAUUGAAUGGAGUGGAGCAUGCCACAGCUGUAUUCAGAGCCCUGCCACAGCUCUUCCCAUCCAGCACUGUGCCUCCUAAGAAGUUGGGUGCCAGCAGUGAGGCUCUUUUCCAUGUCCUUACGACUUCAGAAGACCCUGAUUGUUUCCUGCGCCAGCGACCUCUGUCUUGUCCAUUUGUGCUUGUCUCUGAAGACAACUGCAUGAUCGCCGUGGGAAGCACACCAGUGACUACGUUCGACCGGGAGGAUCUUUAUGAGGGACUGCUCUAUGUCAUGGCAUAUUAUUAUGCCCUCCACCUCACGUACCCAAAGUGUAUUUCCACACUACUGUCUGUACUGCAAACUGAAAUUCUUCAAGAUUCCAUCCAUGACCGAGAUUCAACC